Molecule: small nuclear RNA, 106 nt
Organism: Otolemur garnettii (small-eared galago)
Lineage: Eukaryota; Metazoa; Chordata; Mammalia; Primates; Galagidae
Source: Ensembl
GUGUUCAUUUCCGUAACACAUAUACUAAAAUUGGAAUGAUACAGAGAAGAUUAGCAUGGCCCCAAGCAAGGAUGACACACAAAUUCAUGAAACAUUCUGUAUUUUU